UUCGGGGGGAGCUAGCGUUGUUCGGAAUUACUGGGCGUAAAGCGCACGUAGGCGGCUAUUCAAGUCAGAGGUGAAAGCCCGGGGCUCAACCCCGGAACUGCCUUUGAAACUAGAUAGCUUGAAUCCAGGAGAGGUGAGUGGAAUUCCGAGUGUAGAGGUGAAAUUCGUAGAUAUUCGGAAGAACACCAGUGGCGAAGGCGGCUCACUGGACUGGUAUUGACGCUGAGGUGCGAAAGCGUGGGGAGCAAAU
This 250-nucleotide ribosomal RNA is filed under the name uncultured bacterium. RNAcentral's name for it is "partial 16S ribosomal RNA". It matches the Rfam family "Bacterial small subunit ribosomal RNA", at positions 524 to 773 of the family's 1533-position model. The record is from RNAcentral.